AUUGAACGCUGGCGGCAGGCCUAACACAUGCAAGUCGAGCGGUAGAGAGGUGCUUGCAUCUCUUGAGAGCGGCGGACGGGUGAGUAAUGCCUAGGAAUCUGCCUAGUGGUGGGGGAUAACGUUCGGAAACGGACGCUAAUACCGCAUACGUCCUACGGGAGAAAGCGGGGGAGUCUUCGGACCUCGCGCCAUUAGAUGAGCCUAGGUCGGAUUAGCUAGUUGGUGAGGUAAUGGCUCACCAAGGCGACGAUCCGUAACUGGUCUGAGAGGAUGAUCAGUCACACUGGAACUGAGACACGGUCCAGACUCCUACGGGAGGCAGCAGUGGGGGAAU
Molecule: ribosomal RNA, 334 nt
Filed under: uncultured bacterium
Lineage: Bacteria
Description: bacterial SSU rRNA
Rfam family: Bacterial small subunit ribosomal RNA
Source: RNAcentral